This 321-nucleotide ribosomal RNA is filed under the name Triticum aestivum (bread wheat). Its description in RNAcentral is "partial small subunit ribosomal RNA". The record is from RNAcentral. Lineage: Eukaryota; Viridiplantae; Streptophyta; Magnoliopsida; Poales; Poaceae.
AUGGAGUCGUGGAAGCUGGCCCGCGAGCGGAGUCAUCGCAAGGAGGGCGAGAGCCAGUACUAUGGCAAGACCGAGGAGCACCUGGGGUCUUACAUUCAUCACUAUCAGGAGUUGCAUCCGGAUGUUCCUGUUGCUGAGGUCGCCCAGUCUCAGAUCGACGACACGGCGGUGGUGGCCAUCCAGGGGAAGAAGAAUGGUCGGUAUCCGUGUUUCGACGACUUGAUCACUCCUUCGAUCUCGUACACACAGCUUCGGGCUACCAACCCGAGCCAGUUAGAGAGUACGGGGCGUUCACAGACUCCCUUAGCCCGCCAGCAUGCU